Long non-coding RNA from Chloebia gouldiae (Gouldian finch), 1606 nucleotides. The record is from Ensembl. NCBI's taxonomy places the organism in Eukaryota, Metazoa, Chordata, Aves, Passeriformes, Passeridae.
CCCCUUCCCGCGGGGGCGGCGCCGAGCGGGGAUUCCCGCCGCGGAGCCGGGCGGGGGCCGCGCCCCCUCCCCAUGUCAACACGCGGGGCACGGGGCGCCUGCGCCGGUCCGUGCGCGUCUUUUCCUCUCAUGCGCGGUAUUUCCUUCCCCAGCUAGGCUCGGGGCCCGGCCUAGCGGCGGCGGCACCCGCGGGCCGGGGCGCAGGGAAGGGCAGCGGCGCCCCCCCGCCUCCCCGCGGCUCCUCGCCCGCGCCCCCGCCGACACCCGCGGCGGAGGAUGGCCGAGGACUCGCCCAAACGGCGCAAGGCCAACUUCAACGAGGCGGAGACGGAGGUGCUGAUCGAGCAGGUGCUGAAGCACGAGCAGCUGCUGUUCGCGGCGGGACCCGGCCGCGCCUCUGCGGGCCAGAAGCGGAAGGUGUGGGAGCUGAUCCGGCACAAGGUGAACCCGGUGGCCGCCUGCCCCCGCGACGUGGAGGACCUGAAGAAGCGCUGGCGGGACCUGAAGCGCCGCGACCGCAGCAAGCUGUGCCGCCUGUCGCAGGGCUGCGGGCCGCCGCCGCCCCCCGCCCUCGGCCUCCUGCUGGCCCCCGAGGAGCUGCCGCCCGCCGCCGCGCCGCCCGCCCGCCGCCAGCGCCGCCCCUACGGCUCCCUGCUGCCCGCCGAGGCCGUGCCCAUCGUGGGCGGCAUCGACACGCUGGAGCUGCCCGGCGCCGUCGUGGGGGACAUGGGGUUUAAUGGCAGUCCUGGCCCAUCUCAUCAAUCCAGUCUUGAGCAGAUGAACCUCAAAGAAGAAAUAGUAGUGAAGGUGGUGGAGACAGAAGAAAGCUCUGAGGACAUGGUAGUGGUUCCACCUAGUCAAGAACAACUGCCUUUUCUGGGGACAUCAGGUGGUGGUUCCUCUGGGAAAGUAAAAGCAAAAACAAAAGGCAGGUGCCAGGCAGACCAAAAUGAAAUGACUGAAGAGGACCUACUGCAGAUUCAGCAGACCCAAAUACAGGUGAUCCAGUCUGGCUUUGACAGUGUCAACCACAAUCUUCGUCUGCUGCAGCAAGGCAUGCAAGAUCUGAAUAACAGCAUCAGCAUCAUGGCACAUACACUUGUUGCUAUCAAGAACAUCUAUGUGAAAAACAACACUGGCCCAACCACACAUGCCACUGCCUCUACUCAGACCACAGCUGGGUACCUGAGCCCAGGAUCCCCCCAGCUCUCCCCUGCUAAGGACAGAGCUAGAGCACAGGUAGCUGGAAGCAGCAGCAGAAGCAGCAGCUGCAGCUCCAGCUCCAUGUCACAAGAACCAGGUCCUUCCGAGUUUCCUAGGCCCCCCCUGAGAACCAUUAAGAAAGAACAUCCAAAUGGCUGCUACUACUUCUGCUUUGCAGAUGUGUAAAAACUUGAAUAUAUGUAAAAUGACUGUGUUGUUGGGUGCUGAAGUAUGUUCUGCUCUGGCCUGUGACUUCGAAGGAGCGAAGUGAACUUGCCUCCCAUGUUUUUCCCAGUGGGAAACAUUUUGCUGUAGGUGGCAUUAAACUCUAAUUGCCAGUCUCCAGUUAACUCUGUUGCAGUUGGCUAAUAAAUUUAUUCUUUUUUCUUUAUCCCCUUAUUCU